Notolabrus celidotus (New Zealand spotty) is the source of this 1104-nucleotide long non-coding RNA. RefSeq lists it as uncharacterized. The record is from RefSeq and is a predicted model, not a curated record. Lineage: Eukaryota; Metazoa; Chordata; Actinopteri; Labriformes; Labridae. The transcript is spliced from 3 exons.
AUCAAAAUGAAAAUUGAAGUGUGUGUUAUUUGCACAACCAAUUUCAGCCACACCCGGUACAAGUAUCCUAAUGCUGACUCAGUUUGUGAUGGUACAGUCGUGUUGUCGUAGAGGUGAGUGUGUCAGAACCUUUCCAGAUGAUGUACCAAGACGUGCCUUUGUCCCCUUGACUGAACACUACAGCGUAAAAAGAGGAGACAGUUAACACCAAGGAUCAUGGUGAGCAGAGCAUCAGGACCGAGCUGACACAGCAGCGACAGACUCUCCUGCAGCUCGUCCUCUGAGUCCUUCUCAUCCUUUAUAUGGCCACACUCUGAGUCCUGGAAACGGUAGAACUGGGUGUCCUUGUCGAGGAAGUUCAACUCGUGUUUCACUUGAUUGAGGCGAAACAAAGAACAGAGGAGAAACACAUGAAUUAAACCCAAAUGUUUCUAUGAGUGUGGACCUCUAGAGAUACUAUGGUGAUUGCAUUAAAAUGGAACAGACUGACUGAUUACUAAAAAAAGAGAUUUUGAUCUUCAGGAGAAUUUAGCCGUCUUGUGGUUACUUCACAAAACACAGAUCCAUGGAAAUAAGAGCUAAUGCAUUCAGAGUGCUCCCCUUCGUUGAUGUUGAAGCUUUUAUAUCCUGAUUGAAGUGGACUCUCCCGUGGAGACAGUGCCUUGUCCGAACAGAACAAGCAGUGAGUUAGUGACCACUUGACUGAGUGAGAACACAUUGUAAAACAUCUGCUCUGGCAGGCUCAGACACCAGAUUUCAAGCUUCUUAAGUACUUCUGGGAAACUCUCAACACAGUAUCAUCAGAAUAUAUUAAAAAAUACCAGAAUGUGACAGGAUUUGUUGUAGGAUUGUUCUACAUACUUCUACUGUCGUGCCAAGGCGUGAGCUCACCUGACACAUAACAAUGUUAACACUGACUUAAUUUUGCAGCCAGCAAAGCUCGGUAAGUUCAACUGUCUGGUGUGGAUAAUUUCUCAUCCCCUUUGAAUGAAUGUUCAACAAAAUGUCCCAAACUGUAACUUCACCUCUUAGUCAUCAUCGUGUUAGGCUUCUGAUGACUCAGGAAUGUUGCCAGGGUAGAAUAAACACAGCUUUUUGAUGACA